Non-coding RNA from Erinaceus europaeus (western European hedgehog), 301 nucleotides. NCBI's taxonomy places the organism in Eukaryota, Metazoa, Chordata, Mammalia, Eulipotyphla, Erinaceidae. The record is from Rfam.
GGAUGUGAGGGUGACCUGGCUGUGACCUUUGCCACCCCACUGGUCGCCAGGGUUGACGGGCUCAUCUGGCUGACCAGGUGGGUGUCCCCUUCUGCCCUCACGACUCCACGUGCGUCCCAAGCGAAGCUGCAAGUUCGGUCAAAGAGGGCGGCCUUCCUGGAAGAGAGACAGACGGCCUUCGGAUAGAAACAGAGGGUCUACGAGUAGCUGCUCUUCCCUGUCAGAACCUUCAGACAAGCUAUUGGGGAACAGCAAAGAGCUUCCGGUCCAUGGGCCUGGUCUGCUGUGCAUAGACCGUCAU